RNAcentral lists this long non-coding RNA (765 nucleotides) under Vitis vinifera (wine grape). RNAcentral describes it as "long non-coding RNA (VVIN_LNC003396)". The record is from RNAcentral. Lineage: Eukaryota; Viridiplantae; Streptophyta; Magnoliopsida; Vitales; Vitaceae.
AAAUAGCACAUUUAUACAGAACAUUUUUAUUUUAAAAACGAAAAAAGAAAAAAGAAAAAAACAAAGGAAAAUGGAUGAGGUGUAUCCAAACGUACAAACUUACCCUUUCUUACUUUCAAUGGAUGAACCAUUUUUCCUUCGCAAGGGACCUUUCCACGAAGAUCAUAGCCUUACACAAACUGGACCACAAUUUUGUCACAAAAUAGGGGCAGCAAAGGUGAGAUGAGAUCCCAGAAGUUAAAAGAUAGAGCACUCCGCCGAGAUGAGAUCCCAGAAGUUAAAAGAUAGAGUACUCCGCCGAAAUUGCCCAUCCCUGCCGGAGUACUGAUGCUUGUCUGUCUUCCAUCAUUUCUCACAAACCCCUUCCCAUCUCUCCAUUCUAUAAUCCAUGGCCGUGACUCCUUCGGUGCAGUACCUGGGUACCACCAUCGGCUCAUCUGACCCUCCUUCGCUACCCCAAUUAAAUUCAAAUGGUCUAGCUACAGGACCACCAACCCAUCACCCGUUCACCACCUCAGCACGCAUGGGGCCAUUUUUCAUUCCAAUAUCACGUCAUUCUCUACUGUUUUUUUAUCUCCAUAUUGUCAAUUCACUCUUCCUUUUUCUCUCUCUGUUGUCGAAUAAGUGUUCUUUUGCGUUACCCGUCUUCUCCUUUUCAGUGGAGUACACGUGGAGAUCAUCUGACCCUUGGGUUUGUCUUGGCUGAAGAACGUGGCACUAGGUGGUAUUUUGCUAUCAGUGUCAGUAACUACACUUUGUUUUUUG